AUCAAAGAUGGGAGAGGCUUUAAAGCAAAAAAACUUGCCUCCAUCGUUGGACUUCCCAGGAGAGGAGGAGAUGCCAAAGACCAAUCCCACCCGUGUCCUUAAACCCAUUUUCAGUCCGAGUCCCCGGUGCAAUGGCAGCACUCUCUACGACUCAUUCGAGCUCAGAGCUAUAACCAAACAACUCAACAAGGCCAUGCAAAACUUGAAUGGUUCAUCGCCCACUCUGAUUUCCUACUUGAAAUCCCCCUUUUACAACCAUUAUUUAGAUAGCAUCUGCAAAGAACAUGCUCAAACACCAAAGAAAAUAAUGGGUUCCCGGAUCACUCAAAGGUCCCUCGACAAUAGGGCAAGCAGAGCAGGCACUGGUGCAUCACGCUGGGGAUUUAUUAGCAGGCUGUGGAAAAAGGUUAAACAAGGAGUGCUAUGGAAUAAGCAGAGAAAUGA
Molecule: unclassified non-coding RNA, 444 nt
Filed under: Hevea brasiliensis (rubber tree)
Lineage: Eukaryota; Viridiplantae; Streptophyta; Magnoliopsida; Malpighiales; Euphorbiaceae
Source: RNAcentral